ACAUCUGCUGAAGCUCACAUAUAUCUCAAUGUUGAUCUAGGAGCAAGGCUUUCCGUUUCUCACAUGAGUGCUUUUCAUUGGUAAAUCUAGGUCCGUAAUCCUGUCGGCAAGAGAAACAGAAUACUGUGAUUCAGGAAUGGUGAUAAAUUACCAGCAAUCAGAGUUAAUAAUGGGAAAUAACUUUUAUACUAAUCCAGGGAUUCUCCACAGGAAUCUUAAUCAUCUCUCCAGCCCAUAGGGUUUGGGAUUUACUACACUGAUGACAUCCUCUUUGGAUCUGGUUGUUGAGAAUUAACGAAUAUCCUAAGUGCCUUGGUAUGACAACCAAUGUGUCAGAGGUUGUUUUCCUCUAUCUUCAGAUGGGAUAAUUUCAAUGGAUCUACAUUCAAGUUCACUGACACUUUCUUCUGUUGUCUCCAAUCUGCUGUUAAGCCCAUUCGACAUAUUUAUAAUAGCUCCUUUGAAGACCUUGUCUGCUGUUUCCAAUAUCUUGGCCAUCUCAGGGGUUUUCUGUUGAGUACUUUUAAAAAAAUUUCUUAACAGUGAAUUACAUUUUCCUGCUUCUUUGAAGUUUAGGACUUUUUAUUCCACAUUAGGCAUUGUGGGGAGAAAGUGGUAGAAACUGUGCAUUCUGGUAUCUUCCUCCAAAAGUGUUUAUUUUUGUUCUAACAGACAGUUAAAUUACUGGUCAUUCUCUUUGACCUUGUGUAGACCAGGUUUAAUGCUUUGCUACAUUGUUUUAAAAUAUGAAACGUACUGUUUUAAAGACUGAUAUUUCACUAAAUCUAGCUGAGAUACAGUUGAAAGCAACUAUAACAACAACAAAAAACCCAUAAAUGAGUUGAAACAGUUUUACAAAGUAGAUUCAAACAGAAAGAGAGAAAAGAAGAACGAAGACAAGCCUGCUGUCUUCCCAUUGUGCAUAGGACUGAAUGCAAUCUCUUGAAAUUAAGAUUCAUCACCCUUUAGAGUCCCAUCCCAGAGGAAACGUCCAGUUUUCUCAUCUCUGCUAUAUUCUACUAACACGCGGCAGUAGGAUCCAACUCAGUUAGAGUCUCAGAGCUUCUGCAAAUGCUGUUUUCUACACCAAAACACUCUUAUGGUUAAUAUCUUCUAAACACUGCUCACAUGCUACUCACAAAACUUGUUCUAAUUCUAUCAGACAAGGCUGGGUCCUGCAUCCUGAGACCUUCCACAAUACUUUUUUUUCACGUCUCUAUUACAGAUUUUAUUUUACCAUAUCACUUUUCUACAGGAAUUCUUCUUAAACAUUUAUUCAUUUAUUCAACAACAACUACUCUGUACAUAAAACGUACCAGGCAUUGGCCUGGGUGCUCAGGAUGUACUGAUGAAGACAAUACAGAUGACUUCUAGCCUCAGAGUGUAGUGGGUAUUGUAUCCAGAUUUUAUCUUGAGAAGCAGUACUGGACAGUGGUUAAGGGAAUGAACUUUGGAUUACUGGGCAUUGUUUGAAGCCCACCUCUACCAUUUGUGAGCUGUGUGUCCUUAAACAAGUUACUUAAUUUCUCUGUGUCUCAUUUUCACCAUUUGUUAAUUGUAGAUAAUAUUUCAUAGGUUUCUUGUGAGCAGUAAAUAAGUUAAAAUGUAUAAAACAUUUAGAAUGGUGCCUGGCAUAUAAGAACUCAACAAAUACGAUAUUAUUAUUUUUGUCUCUUAGACCUAUAGUAUGAUGUCCAACACGUAGUAGGCACAGACCACAUACUAUUGAAUGAAGGAUUAAAUGAAUGAAUGAAUAUUUCUGCUUCUGGAUUGAAAAAUAUGUAUCAUAUAUUGAAGAAAUUUUAUAUUGCUUCUCUCUUUUCUAGCUAUGUUUCGUAUAAGAAGUUCCGGCUAAAAAUGUUACAAGUGGAUUUCUUAACGCAAUAAUUUGCUAAUCCAAUAAUGUAUUUGCUCCUUCCCUACUGCUUCUUCAUUGGCUCAUUCAUUCCUUCAGCAAAAUAUUUGUGUGUUCUUCUUUAUUAAAAACAAAAUAUGUGACAGCCCUUUUCCUCAGCAGUUUACAAGCUAGAUGGGAAAAUGAUAUAUGUUAAUAACAUACAAGAAAAUGUAGCAUGCAAUGAUUACGCUGAGGGAGUCAAAUGAACCACACAUUUGAAAGCAUGUCCAAACUGCUUGGCAUAUGUUACUUUGAAUUAUAUGGAAUUUCCAACAUUUUAAUGGUUUUAUUAUUCAAAUGACAAUGUUCUGUGGUUCAAAAUAAUAGCAGAUAAUAAAAUAUACAUUCCAUGUAUCAGAAUAAUAUGUCCUUCAGAAGAGGGGAAAUCUUUCAACCAGGCUGACCAAAUAAAACUACAGAAAAGGAGGCAAUUGGAAGAGAUUUGAAGAAAAGCUAGCGCAGGGUCAAGUGAUUCAAAGCAGUGAUUCUCAAAAUGUGGUCCCACAAUUUUCGAUGAGCAUGGGAAAUGAUGACCGAAAUACAGCUAACCUGAAAGAACACUGCUCAGGUAUUUUUUUAAUAGUUAUUUCUUUUCAUUUACUUUUUUUCUCAUGGUAUCCCACUUUCUGAAGCUGGAAAGGGAAGAGAAAAAUCACUCAAGAUAGGGUAUGUCUAAUGAAGUAAACAUUCUUACAAUUAGUUAAAUUUUACAGAUCUAAUAACUUUAUAGAUCUAAUAAUUUUAAACAUCUAAGUCUAUGUACUGUAUGAUAUUUCCCCUGGGUAGUUUUUACUUGAUAUAGCUUCUAAAAUUCCAAAUGACUAAGCUAGUUUUCAGUUAUCUAUUGUGUAGCACUUAAAUAUUCUCCAAGUUACAAAAAUUUUCAUUUUUUUCUUAAUCUACUUAGACAUUCAUUUAGUGAAACACAAUGACGUGCGUUUCAAGGAGUCAGUUCUUUGUUCAAAAUAAUUCAUUUAAUGAAGAGAAGGAUGCCAGACACUCACUACUUAAAGCUCUGCAUAAAAUUAAAAACACCGUGUGAAUUUAAAAGAAGGAUUUUCAGUAAAGUUUCAUGCUUUAAAGUGAAGUAAUUUGACUCUAAUUAAAGAUAGACUGUUGUUGAUAUUUCUCGCUUGCAAGCUUGGGUUUAUGCUUUUUUAAAGAGGAAAUUUCAAAUGAUGUGUGUGUUAUUUAUGAUAACUGCACUUAGCCGAGGAAGAAUGUUGACUAGAUUUAAUAUUAAUUUGUAUGCCUUCAGUACUGAUAAUGUUAUUUCAGUAUCUUCACACAAGAUGAAAAUAAGCAAAAUAACUACUCAGUUUUUGAACAAAAUCUCAUAUUACUACUAAAGCAAUGUGUUUUGUCUAAAGGACUUAUUAAAAAAUUACUUCAAUAUGCUAACUAACCUGGUCAUUAUUCUGUUACAAAUAUCAGUUGCAUUCCUUAAACAAUUAUAAAUACAAAUGAAUAUAUAAAGAGGCAAUAGCAUUUUCAUGCUGUGGAAUUGCCUCUGAACUGAGAUUUAGGAGAUCUCUGCUCAUCACCUGGGAAAUGAGAGAUCUAAAUUAGAUAGCCUUUAUCAUCUCCAAACUUCCAGGAUACUAAUAUUAGAUCCACAAAGAAUUCUGAAACUAGGAUAACACCUUAAUGGAAAAUGCAAAUGGUCUGCCAGAAAAUAAGCUAUAUGUUUUGUCCUUUUUUCCCCGUAGUUUAAUCUCAGUCUGUACACAUCUUUUGUGUUUAGAAAAACAUUUUUUUUAUACACAUAGAAGAGAUAUUUAACUGAAAACCCAUUCAAUCAGCAUUAACCCAGUGGAAGGAUUGAAAAUAGUCUCAUUUUUUUUUGAGGAAGAUUAGUCCUGAGUUAGCAUCUGCUGCCGAUCCUCCUCUUUUUGCUGAGGAAGACUGGCCCUGAGCUAACAUCCGUGCCCAUCUUCCUCCACUUUAUCUGUGGGACGCCUACCACAGCAUGGCUUGCCAUGCGGUGCCAUGUCCACACACAGGAUCCAAACCAGUGAACCCCGGGCCGCUGAAGCAGAACGUGCGUAGUUAACUGCUGCGCCACUGGGCCGGCCCCAAGAAAAUACAGUCUUUAACUUUGAUCAAAUUAUCUGUUCCACAGUUGAUCCCACUUGCAAAAUAAACAUAUUUUUACAGAAUCAACCAGAGGCAAAUCUGUGAAGAAUCUAUAGGAAGACAUCUUCCUGCAUCCCAAACAUUUAUUCUUCAUGCUGGGCUCCUCCUUCCAUUAUCGUCUGAUCUUUUCUAACCUUGGCAGUUGUUCUUUUUCCCCACUAAUACUGAGACGGGUUUGCACCUGAUUCUUCUCAAUAGGGCAAGCGCUCAGCAGUUUAAGGUAUGAUCCUAUCCAGUGAGAAAUACAUGGAUUUUAAUACUGAGGACCCAAAGGAGUGAAUACAUAAGUGAUGAAAUCUCAAUAUUAUACUAUAUAAUUACUUAAAAAUAUAUAUCCAUAUAAAGGACACAAUAGUCAAAAAUCAUAUAUUUCAGGUGCAAAUUAACAAAAUUAAGAUUGGAUUUUUUACAUUAUAUCAGGGUAUUUUGACAUUAUGAAGACAGAAAAACUCAUUUUAAUUUUUGUUAUGAAGCAUACCCACAUUAUGCUACAUUGAUGACUUAUGGAGGGGAUGUUUACAUGACCAAUUAGUGGCUAUAUUGCAGUGGAUAGAGUAACAUGUGAAAAAGAGUUUUCAAUCCUUUCAACCUUUUUACUAGCUUUCCUACUUCAGUUACUGAGACUUCACCAGGAAAACGUAUAGAAAAAAACUUUUGGAAAAAAUUUAUUUAAAAGAUACAAAAUACAAACAGAAAACUUUUUACUGGAUUGCUGGUUAUGAGAAAUGUAUGGACACUUGUCAAAUAUAUCAAUCAUUUAUAGUUAGUAAAUUUAUCUAACUUCUUCAAAAGAAUUUAUGUCAAUAAUUAACUUACUCUGUCAUUGGUAGUUGAGUAGGAAUGGGAAUUCCGGAAGCCUGGACUCAGGAUACUAUACAACUAACACAGAAGGAAGACAGGAUAAAUGACAAAAAGCACUCCUUAAGAAAGACAGUUUACCAAAAGCAACAUCAUAAAAAGUUGUCUGAGCAGUUCUAUAUCUGUUGAAGAAAUUGAAUCUGUUACUUAAAGUCUUCAUAAAAAAAUAAAACUCCA
Equus asinus (donkey) is the source of this 5068-nucleotide long non-coding RNA. The record is from Ensembl. Lineage: Eukaryota; Metazoa; Chordata; Mammalia; Perissodactyla; Equidae.